This is a long non-coding RNA of Chenopodium quinoa (quinoa), 1473 nucleotides long. RefSeq lists it as uncharacterized. The transcript is spliced from 3 exons. Lineage: Eukaryota; Viridiplantae; Streptophyta; Magnoliopsida; Caryophyllales; Amaranthaceae. The record is from RefSeq and is a predicted model, not a curated record.
AGACAUGUACUCUGGAUUCUCCAUUGAAGCGACUUCUGAGCUUUCUUCUCCAUUGAAGCAGCAAGUUGUAAGGAGCAAGAAAUCAAACAAUUUCCAAAGGAAGUACAAAAAUAUUUGCAAGGGAAGCAAAGAGAGUAUGAGGCUGACAAGAUACGGGGAAAUGAUGUGGGAAUAUCUAAGGUCUUAGACUCAGCUCAUCAAGUUGGAAGAUUUACUGUCUCAAGCUCUCAACUGCCCUUGAUUUGCCUUACAAGGAAAUGGCCAUCCACUAUGAAGCUCUUAUGAUGGGUAAGCAGCCUAAGAUGUCCCAUUUGAUGACGGUUCGAACGAAAUAGGGCUACUCCUUCACAUGUAAGGCACUUAUUAAGAUUCUUUUAGUUUUGAGGUUUCAAUUGUUGCAAUGUUUGAUAUAUGCAUCUGUGAAGAAAUUUUUAAUAUGGCAUAAUUGUCCUACGAACAUAAACAAUUUGAGACCCUAAAAAGAAACCGGUUAACAAGAAGGGAAGGAGCGAUGAUCCAUUGUACUGUUUAACACUUAAAUUAUUUGGCUACUCAGAACAAUCUGUCAUCUCAAAAUGGGAAUAAGGCUACUUUUGGUGUUAAAUUUGGCAAUCUGAGUGAGUAGAAUUGUUUUUUCUUAUUCCGAAUUGAGAAAUGUUGCAGAAAGGAAAUCCUUUUAAAUAUGAUAAUUUAAUGGUUCCUGCAAUCAAAUAGCUCUAUCCUGCCUUCUUUUCUAGAUACACUUAAUUUUGUCAUCUUCAAUUGGCUAGCUUAUGAAAACUAUAUAAAUACAAGUAAUAGUUAAACCGAACUCUACUUCUGAUGAUUAACUACUAAAGAUCAAUAUUGCCCCUGCUGGGUACAAACUGAUCACCAUCGUUUACAAGGCACAAUAUGAAAAAGCUAGCAAUACACAUGUGAUGAACAGGGUAGUUUGUUACUAACUCCCAAAUUCUUGGUUGAAUAUAGCUCGGAGUGUUGUCUUCCCAAAAAUAGUUCUCUUGUCACUACUGAAUACAAGCUUCCCACAUCAAGCCCUAGGGAGCGAACUUCUUAAAAGCUGUUGGUUGUUGAUUAUCAAUACACUAGAGGCAGCCGAAAUGUUCCAGGGGAGCAAUAUAUAUUUAGUUUCUGGAAUUGGUAUUGACGUCUUGGUGUGUCUCACAUGGCAGGCGUUCUGUCCAAGAAGUAGCUAAAGAUUCUAUUAGCUACUCAAGAAGCAGCUUUAAUAAUUAUAUAGUUAGUCUUAGAUUCCAAAGAUUCAUUUUAUUCAUUAAUUAAUUUUUUUUAUUAAUUAUUAUUUUAGGUUAUCCAAUUUUGUUCCAAUCGAUCGGAUAAGGCAAAUAGGUUGUAUCUUCUUGAAUUUUUUUUGGGUCAAAAUUGAUUUCAAGUACAGCUUUAUAGUUUUAUACUUUCAUUUGUAUCUGCUAAAAGUUUUGGCAUUGUAUAAAAGAAACAUUUUUCUAAAACUCA